GAGCUUGCUUCGGCAGCACUCAUGCUAACAUUGGAGCAAUAUAGAGAUUAGCAUGGCCCCUGCACAAAGAUAACACGCAAAAUCGUGAAGUGUCCCAUAUUUUU
Molecule: small nuclear RNA, 104 nt
Organism: Ochotona princeps (American pika)
Lineage: Eukaryota; Metazoa; Chordata; Mammalia; Lagomorpha; Ochotonidae
Source: RefSeq, a predicted model, not a curated record